Molecule: non-coding RNA, 30 nt
Filed under: Mus musculus (house mouse)
Lineage: Eukaryota; Metazoa; Chordata; Mammalia; Rodentia; Muridae
Source: RNAcentral
UAGAUUUGGAGGGAGAAUGGUGUCAUAAAG